UUCGCAAUGCCCGAAAGGGUGACGAAGCGACGCCGCGUGGAUGAAGAAGGCCUUCGGGUUGUAAAAUCCUGUCAGGAGUUAAGAAAUAUAAAUUUGAUAAUACCAAAUUUAUUCGACAAAGGCUCCAGAGGAAGCCACGGCUAACUCUGUGCCAGCAGCCGCGGUAAUACAGAGGUGGCAAGCGUUGUUCGGAAUUAUUGGG
RNAcentral lists this ribosomal RNA (202 nucleotides) under uncultured Candidatus Scalindua sp. RNAcentral's name for it is "partial 16S ribosomal RNA". It matches the Rfam family "Bacterial small subunit ribosomal RNA", at positions 365 to 558 of the family's 1533-position model. The record is from RNAcentral. Lineage: Bacteria; Pseudomonadati; Planctomycetota; Candidatus Brocadiia; Candidatus Brocadiales; Candidatus Scalinduaceae.